This 910-nucleotide ribosomal RNA is filed under the name Streptococcus salivarius. RNAcentral describes it as "bacterial SSU rRNA". It matches the Rfam family "Bacterial small subunit ribosomal RNA", at positions 51 to 944 of the family's 1533-position model. The record is from RNAcentral. Lineage: Bacteria; Bacillati; Bacillota; Bacilli; Lactobacillales; Streptococcaceae.
AUACAUGCAAGUAGAACGCUGAAAGAGGAGCUUGCUCUUCUUGGAUGAGUUGCGAACGGGUGAGUAACGCGUAGGUAACCUGCCUUGUAGCGGGGGAUAACUAUUGGAAACGAUAGCUAAUACCGCAUAACAAUGGAUGACACAUGUCAUUUAUUUGAAAGGGGCAAUUGCUCCACUACAAGAUGGACCUGCGUUGUAUUAGCUAGUAGGUGAGGUAACGGCUCACCUAGGCGACGAUACAUAGCCGACCUGAGAGGGUGAUCGGCCACACUGGGACUGAGACACGGCCCAGACUCCUACGGGAGGCAGCAGUAGGGAAUCUUCGGCAAUGGGGGCAACCCUGACCGAGCAACGCCGCGUGAGUGAAGAAGGUUUUCGGAUCGUAAAGCUCUGUUGUAAGUCAAGAACGAGUGUGAGAGUGGAAAGUUCACACUGUGACGGUAGCUUACCAGAAAGGGACGGCUAACUACGUGCCAGCAGCCGCGGUAAUACGUAGGUCCCGAGCGUUGUCCGGAUUUAUUGGGCGUAAAGCGAGCGCAGGCGGUUUGAUAAGUCUGAAGUUAAAGGCUGUGGCUCAACCAUAGUUCGCUUUGGAAACUGUCAAACUUGAGUGCAGAAGGGGAGAGUGGAAUUCCAUGUGUAGCGGUGAAAUGCGUAGAUAUAUGGAGGAACACCGGUGGCGAAAGCGGCUCUCUGGUCUGUAACUGACGCUGAGGCUCGAAAGCGUGGGGAGCGAACAGGAUUAGAUACCCUGGUAGUCCACGCCGUAAACGAUGAGUGCUAGGUGUUGGAUCCUUUCCGGGAUUCAGUGCCGCAGCUAACGCAUUAAGCACUCCGCCUGGGGAGUACGACCGCAAGGUUGAAACUCAAAGGAAUUGACGGGGGCCCGCACAAGCGGUGGAGCAUGUUG